Molecule: long non-coding RNA, 2736 nt
Organism: Homo sapiens (human)
Lineage: Eukaryota; Metazoa; Chordata; Mammalia; Primates; Hominidae
Exons: 3
Source: RefSeq, a predicted model, not a curated record
GAGAACCAUCGAGUUAGUGCUAGCAUAGAAUCUAACAAGAAAUGGCCCUGCAUCCAUUCUCUUUUCUUCUAAUAACAGCCCCAGAUUUCCAUUUUUGGACCUACCUUUUCCUUUUUAUCAGGCUAAGUGUUCAUGGUGGGGCUCUGUCCUUAGUUCCAGGGAUAAAGCCUGUGACCCAAACUUAAACCGCAGAUCAUUUUCCCCAGGCCAUGGAGAUUGUUUCAAAUGUGGGCACAUGGCCUGAAUGGGUCAUAUCAGAGUAAAUCUUAGGGCUUCUGGGUUAUGCCACCAUCACAGGCUCUUGCUUUCCUCACUGAACUUGAACCUAGACGGAUGUAAGCUGGAGCUGUGGCAGCCAUCAUUGCCCUGUGAAAAGUCCACUUGGAGCUGCCAAAGACCACCCCAGGAGCUUCAGAAUGAAGACAACCUGGAAGUCAGAGCUGACAGAAACCUCUUUACUUUUAGAAAUAAGGUGAAGUUAGCUUGAGGAAAGAGCUGUAAGGAAGAGUGAAGUCAGCUGAGUCAAGGACACAAGCGGAAAAUGUGCAAAGAUGAGCCAGAAGCAUGGAAAAGUACCUCCAAGACAGAGGAGAACUGAUCCAAGAGAAAGGAGAUGGGAGUGGGCAUCACGUACAGCCAGAGGGCGCCACCUGCCGAAAUGCCUCUUAUUGUUUACAUUAUGAAGUCUCAACUUGGAUGGAAGCCCAACUGCAACACGGCCUCCUAAAAUGAGACGCAACUGUUCAACUGAACUGUUCUCAGGACUAAAAGGCUGUGUCAAUAAGAUACGGGGAAUAUUUGUUCUUCUGUGUGUUCCGAUCCUUGUUUUUCUUUCCCUUCGUUGAUCUCUUGUUUCACAACUUCCAACCCAAAUCUGCUCACAGCUACUAACUUGGCUUUUAACAUAUGAAACUUUCUAAAAGUAAAGUUUCAAAUGGGGAAUGAAGAGGCUCAGAAUACACUACCCCAAAACAUGUCACUCAGAACACAUCAUCCCCAAAUAUGCCACUUUGGCAUCAGAAUUAUUUUAAACUAAAGGCACAUAAAAACAGGAGAUGCAAGAAGAUCACUCUGACCUUCACUGUUCUUUAAAAGCCAGAGAUGAAAUUCCCAUGUGAAAGGUGUUCUCCCUAAACCAAGAAGAAAGUAACAUUCUCAUCACAAAGGAUAGGAAGUUGAGGCUGAUAGGAAUCUAUACAAGCAUCCCUUAUGUUCCUAAUUACUUAUUUACCCAGUUAUUUACCCUAGCAUAAGCCCCUUUGCCUUGUUACAUUUUCACAAUUCAGGGCAUAAAUGUUUGACUCUAGCUGCUGCUUUGUGUCUUCAUUUCCUUAUGAAUGCUCUCCUGCCAUUAAAAAACUUGCAUUAAAUAAUUUAUAUACUUUUCUCCUGUUGAUUUGUCUUAUGUCUAUUUAAUUCUCCAGGCCCAGGCAACAAACAAACAAACAAGAAAACAAAACAAAAACAAAAAACCCCCAACAACAACAACAACAAAACCAUAAAAGAGGAGGGGCAAAUUUUUGCCUCCUCUUCUGCAUUUUUCACAUGCUUUAUCCUGUUUUCACUUCUUUACUUUCUGGCACUAUAAGGUGUUCCAGGCUCAUCUUAUAUUUAUUUUCCCUAUCCUAGCCCUGGAAUCAGCCACUUCUACACUUCUUGAAGGAGUCCUGGUUCCUUUCAUCAGGGAACGGCAUUUCGAAAUCAAGAUCUGAGUGCUGGCUGUGCUCAUUGCUACUGGUGUCACUGCUCAUAGUCUCCUCUCUCUCAGUGGGCAGAGCUAGGUAAUUCAUGUAUGUAUAACUGACCCAUAUAUGCACACAUAUUAUAUUUUUGUAUCUACUAAAAAUAAAUCAACCAUGAGUUCAUACUGAUAUUUCUAACUCCAGUCCAGCACCAGGAUUUAUUCUAGCAUUAUCUCUGCUUAUUUGUAACUUCUUUCUGACAAUGAGAAAAGUGGAUCCCAUAGCUUACACUAUAUUUAAUUAUUUUUGAGCCCAAGUAUACCAUAGGUUUAGGGUUGUUUGUGAAAAACGAAUUUACCAAUGAGAGUUUGUUGCUUCUGUACUGUUCUUCUUGUCUUUGGCCUGACACUCUCCAGUCAAAACAUUGCUUUACAAAGGCACUUAGGUCAGCUCGUUUCUUCCCUCCUAACUUCCGUAUGGUUAUGUUUUUUUAUUUGUAAUACGGUUAGAUUCAUUUUAGCAGUCCGCUUUUCAUCUUGGAUUUCCCCAAGAUCUCAGUUGAUUUUUUAAAAAUUUGUAUACAGCAAAGUUUACCCUUUGUGGUGUAUAGGUUUAUGGGAUUGAGAAAGGCAUAGAGUCACGUGUACAACAAGACAGUUUAACUCAGAACAAUUGGACUGCCCAAAAGUUUCCUAAUGAGGCCCUUUAGUGGGGCAUCAUUUCAUAGGACUCCCCCAACUCCAGGCAACCACGGAUUUGUUUUCUAUUUUUAUAAUUUUGCUUUUUCCAGAAUGCCAUAUAAAUAGAAUCAUUCAGUAUGUAACAUUUUGGAUUUUCUCUCAUUUAGCAAAAAGAAUUUCAGAUUCAUUCAUGUGUUGUGGGUUGAUACUUUUUAUUGCUGAAUGGUAUCCCAUUGUCUGGAUAUACACAGACUUACUUACCCUUUCAUCUGUGAAAGACAGCUGAACUAUUUCUAGCUUUGGUAAUGAAUAAAGCUGCUAUAAACAUUCAGGGCCAGGCACAGUGGCUCACGCUUAUAAUCCCAGUACUUUGG